GGCCCCGUAGCUCAGUUGGCUAGAGCGUUGACUGUACUAAAGCCUUCUCAUUGUUGGUGUGGGUUCGAAUCCCACCGAGGCCG
This 83-nucleotide transfer RNA is filed under the name Schistocephalus solidus. It matches the Rfam family "tRNA". From Rfam's summary of the family: Transfer RNA (tRNA) molecules are approximately 80 nucleotides in length. Their secondary structure includes four short double-helical elements and three loops (D, anti-codon, and T loops). Lineage: Eukaryota; Metazoa; Platyhelminthes; Cestoda; Diphyllobothriidea; Diphyllobothriidae. The record is from Rfam by way of RNAcentral.